UGUUUGACAUUUUAAAAUGGCUUCCCAGUUUGCUCACCUGGGAAUGCCACUACCACCACAGUUAAAUGAUUUAUAAUAACGUUGGGUUUCCAUAAUGGAAAACCCUACCCUACACUCCUACUCAUGGCCACAUUUGUUUAAUCGUUUCUUAAACAUGGCAUCCCCUACUUAUGGCGGAAUUUGUUAAAUCGUUUCUUAAACAUGGCAUCCCCUACUUAUGGCGGAAUUUGUUAAAUCGUUUCUUAAACAUGGCAUCCCCUACUUAUGGCGGAAUUUGUUUAAUCGAUUCUUAAACAUGCAAUACUCGCUUCCAAUAGCCCGCUACCAAAUGCUACACGGUAUGGACACCUACUAAACUACCGCACCUAUUGCGGUACCAGGUCUGGGAUAUUCGAUGUCUUCCACAGAGACGACUACAUCUUCAUUUGCGGCUGGACCGCAAUGAUAGAGGAUACAAUACAACUUUUAUGAAAUGUUCCUGCGUUCUUGUUAUUAAUAAAUAAAAUAGCAUUUA
Molecule: long non-coding RNA, 514 nt
Organism: Drosophila persimilis
Lineage: Eukaryota; Metazoa; Arthropoda; Insecta; Diptera; Drosophilidae
Exons: 6
Source: RefSeq, a predicted model, not a curated record